UUGGAAGCUGAGCGACCGUAGCAGCGGAGAGGCUGCGGCGGGUGCGGUGGGCUUAGUCCCAGCGCGGGUGCGGCUCACGGCGCGGGCCCCACUCUUCCGCACCCUGCUCCGGCCUUGGCCACAGCGAACUGAACGCGGUAGCGGCCUCAGGGAGAGGUGAGCGCUCGCGGGCUGCGCGGGGCCUUGGGCCGCUCGUUCGCCCCGCCGGAGCCGGCUGCAGCGGCGGGCGGGGACUCGGGGACUCCACACGUCGGGUCCCGUUCGUUACGUCGCCGGCUGUGUCCGGACCCGGAGCGUCCCUUCGCGGACCCGAGAUGAGCAGUAACAGCAAUAAGAGAGCUCCAACAACUGCGACACAAAGGUUGAAACAGGACUACCUUCGAAUUAAGAAAGACCCAGUGCCUUACAUCUGUGCGGAGCCCCUCCCUUCAAAUAUUCUUGAAUGGCAUUAUGUUGUCCGAGGCCCUGAGAUGACUCCUUAUGAAGGUGGCUAUUAUCAUGGAAAACUAAUUUUUCCCAGAGAAUUUCCAUUUAAGCCUCCUAGUAUUUACAUGAUAACCCCCAAUGGAAGAUUUAAGUGCAACACAAGGCUGUGUCUCUCCAUCACAGAUUUCCAUCCAGAUACAUGGAAUCCAGCGUGGUCCGUCUCCACCAUUCUAACAGGGCUCCUGAGCUUUAUGGUGGAGAAAGGCCCCACCCUGGGGAGCAUAGAGACAUCGGACUUCACG
RNAcentral lists this long non-coding RNA (728 nucleotides) under Rattus norvegicus (Norway rat). RNAcentral's name for it is "long non-coding RNA NONRATT022948". The record is from RNAcentral. Lineage: Eukaryota; Metazoa; Chordata; Mammalia; Rodentia; Muridae.